Molecule: microRNA precursor, 131 nt
Filed under: Physcomitrium patens
Lineage: Eukaryota; Viridiplantae; Streptophyta; Bryopsida; Funariales; Funariaceae
Description: Physcomitrella patens miR2082 stem-loop (ppt-MIR2082)
Source: miRBase by way of RNAcentral
CUCGUCCACAUCUUGCCGCUCCAGAUUGUGUGUUCCGCUUCUUCUUUCGUCAUGCAUGUCCUCCACAGAUCAAGCAUGAUAGAAGAAGAAGCGGCUUACGCAAUCUGGGACGGAGAUGCAUGAGUUCUGAG